This is a long non-coding RNA of Dermochelys coriacea (leatherback sea turtle), 156 nucleotides long. RefSeq lists it as uncharacterized. The transcript is spliced from 2 exons. The record is from RefSeq and is a predicted model, not a curated record. NCBI's taxonomy places the organism in Eukaryota, Metazoa, Chordata, Testudines, Dermochelyidae.
CCUGGGCCUGUCCCAGUACCAGCGUUUCCCCUAACCCCCGUACCAGCGGGUACCCUGGAGCCCUCUCUCCAGAGCAGCGGCUGCACCCCUGGAGCCCCCCAGAACACUCAAGAUUUAGUCAGGAGUAUAUAGUACAAGUCAUGGAUAGGUCACGGG